AUUGAACGCUGGCGGCAGGCCUAACACAUGCAAGUCGAACGGUAGCACAGAGAGCUUGCUCUCGGGUGACGAGUGGCGGACGGGUGAGUAAUGUCUGGGAAACUGCCUGAUGGAGGGGGAUAACUACUGGAAACGGUAGCUAAUACCGCAUAACGUCGCAAGACCAAAGAGGGGGACCUUCGGGCCUCUUGCCAUCAGAUGUGCCCAGAUGGGAUUAGCUAGUAGGUGGGGUAACGGCUCACCUAGGCGACGAUCCCUAGCUGGUCUGAGAGGAUGACCAGCCACACUGUAACUGAGGCACGGUCCAGACUCCUACGGGAGGCAGGAGUGGGGAAUAUUGCACAAUGGGCGCAAGCCUGAUGCAGCCAUGCCGCGUGUAUGAAGAAGGCCUUCGGGUUGUAAAGUACUUUCAGCGGGGAGGAAGGUGUUGCGGUUAAUAACCGCAGCAAUUGACGUUACCCGCAGAAGAAGCACCGGCUAACUCCGUGCCAGCCGCCGCGGUAA
Molecule: ribosomal RNA, 504 nt
Filed under: uncultured bacterium
Lineage: Bacteria
Description: partial 16S ribosomal RNA
Rfam family: Bacterial small subunit ribosomal RNA
Source: RNAcentral